UCCUGGUUAACCCAGGCAGUCUCAUUAGAGUUCCCACCUUAAAUGUUGGCAACUAAUGAUAAGGGUUGCGCUCGUUGCGGGACUUAACCCAACACCUCACGGCACGAGCUGACGACAGCCAUGCAGCACCUGUGCAGACGUCCCGAAGGAAAAUACUAUUUCUAGUAUCGUCGUCUGCAUGUCAAGUCUGGGUAAGGUUCUUCGCGUUGCAUCGAAUUAAACCACAUGCUCCACUGCUUGUGCGGGUCCCCGUCAAUUCUUUUGAGUUUCACCCUUGCGAGCGUACUCCCCAGGCGGUAUACUUAUCGCGUUAGCUCCGGCACAAUUGGGGUUGAGUCCAAUUACACCAAGUAUACAUAGUUUACGGCAAGGACUAC
RNAcentral lists this unclassified non-coding RNA (377 nucleotides) under uncultured Parachlamydiaceae bacterium. RNAcentral describes it as "contains 16S-23S intergenic spacer region". Lineage: Bacteria; Pseudomonadati; Chlamydiota; Chlamydiia; Parachlamydiales; Parachlamydiaceae. The record is from RNAcentral.